CCCUUCGAUGUUCUGGGCCGCACGCGCGCUACACUGAACAGUUCAACAAGUCUUAACCUUGGCCGAUAGGUCUGGGUAAUCUUUGAACGCUGUUCGUGAUUGGGAUAGACCUUUGCAAUUAUGGGUCUUCAACGAGGAAUUCCUAGUAAACGCAAGUCAUCAGCUUGCAUUGAUUACGUCCCUGCCCUUUGUACACACCGCCCGUCGCACCUACCGAUUGAAUGGUCCGGUGAAAUCUCGGGACGGCGGCUUGGUCGCUUGCGUCCGACUGCUGAAACUUGAUUAAACCAUAUCAUUUAGAGGAAGGUGAAGUCGUAACA
RNAcentral lists this ribosomal RNA (320 nucleotides) under uncultured eukaryote. RNAcentral's name for it is "partial 18S ribosomal RNA". It matches the Rfam family "Eukaryotic small subunit ribosomal RNA", at positions 1470 to 1796 of the family's 1831-position model. The record is from RNAcentral.